RNAcentral lists this ribosomal RNA (492 nucleotides) under uncultured bacterium. RNAcentral describes it as "partial 16S ribosomal RNA". It matches the Rfam family "Bacterial small subunit ribosomal RNA", at positions 29 to 507 of the family's 1533-position model. The record is from RNAcentral.
AGUGAACGCUGGCGGUAGGCCUAACACAUGCAAGUCGAACGGCAGCACAGUAAGAGCUUGCUCUUACGGGUGGCGAGUGGCGGACGGGUGAGGAAUACAUCGGAAUCUACUUUUUCGUGGGGGAUAACGUAGGGAAACUUACGCUAAUACCGCAUACGACCUACGGGUGAAAGCAUGGGAUCUUCGGACCUUGCGCGAUUGAAUGAGCCGAUGUCGGAUUUGCUAGUUGGCGGGGUAAAGGCCCACCAAGGCGACGAUCCGUAGCUGGUCUGAGAGGAUGAUCAGCCACACUGGAACUGAGACACGGUCCAGACUCCUACGGGAGGCAGCAGUGGGGAAUAUUGGACAAUGGGCGCAAGCCUGAUCCAGCCAUACCGCGUGGGUGAAGAAGGCCUUCGGGUUGUAAAGCCCUUUUGUUGGGAAAGAAAAGCAGCAGGUUAAUACCCCGCUGUUCUGACGGUACCCAAAGAAUAAGCACCGGCUAACUUCGUG